This 467-nucleotide unclassified non-coding RNA is filed under the name Hevea brasiliensis (rubber tree). Lineage: Eukaryota; Viridiplantae; Streptophyta; Magnoliopsida; Malpighiales; Euphorbiaceae. The record is from RNAcentral.
AAGCAGCUUCCUCAUAUGGAUAUCUGAAACAUUAGAGAAGUAAAGAGAACGCAAUGAUUCUUGAGAGAUUAAGGAACUUGCUGAAUAGGUUUUACAGACACCAAAACAGGUGAAAUCUAUAUCUGGUAUCUAAUCCAGUAAAUAAUAGUUUUUCUCAUGUCCUUAUUGAAGGCUAUUUUGCAAAAAGCAAGCAUUCAUCACUCAAAAUUCUUUCUCCAAUGAACUAAUACUCACAGAAGUAAUAGAACACUAGAACAAUAUCAAAGACAUCAACAACGAUAAGUUUUUCCAUUUACAUGGGAGUUAUGCAACGUGAUCAACACUUAAGUGCUUGGGUAUUGACAAUGUAAAUCUAAGUAGGGGGGGGCGUGGCGCGGUGGGGGUGUGGGGGGGUGGGGUUGUUGCUGGGAGAGGGGAAAGCUCAGUUCUUCCUUUCAACUUACCCAUAAACACCACAAGAUAUAGCA